UACGUAGGGGGCAAGCGUUGUCCGGAAUCAUUGGGCGUAAAGCGCGUGUAGGCGGCUUGGUAAGUCCGCUCUGAAAGCCCGGGGCUCAACCCCGGGAGGCGGGUGGAUACUGUCAAGCUCGAGUCCGGAAGAGGCGAGUGGAAUUCCCGGUGUAGCGGUGAAAUGCGCAGAUAUCAGGAGGAACACCAAUGGCGAAGGCAGCUCGCUGGGACGUGACUGACGCUGAGACGCGAAAGCGUGGGGAGCAAACAGG
This 253-nucleotide ribosomal RNA is filed under the name uncultured bacterium. RNAcentral describes it as "partial 16S ribosomal RNA". It matches the Rfam family "Bacterial small subunit ribosomal RNA", at positions 524 to 776 of the family's 1533-position model. The record is from RNAcentral.